RNAcentral lists this ribosomal RNA (485 nucleotides) under uncultured bacterium. RNAcentral describes it as "partial 16S ribosomal RNA". It matches the Rfam family "Bacterial small subunit ribosomal RNA", at positions 28 to 523 of the family's 1533-position model. The record is from RNAcentral.
GACGAACGCUGGCUGCGUGCUUAACACAUGCAAGUCGAACGCUGAAGCCCGAAGCUUGCUUCGGGUGGAUGAGUGGCGAACGGGUGAGUAACACGUGAGUAACCUGCCCCUGAUUUCGGGAUAAGCCUGGGAAACCGGGUCUAAUACCGGAUACGACCAACCCUCGCAUGAGGGUUGGUGGAAAGUUUUUCGAUCGGGGAUGGGCUCGCGGCCUAUCAGCUUGUUGGUGGGGUAAUGGCCUACCAAGGCGACGACGGGUAGCCGGCCUGAGAGGGCGACCGGCCACACUGGGACUGAGACACGGCCCAGACUCCUACGGGAGGCAGCAGUGGGGAAUAUUGCACAAUGGGGGAAACCCUGAUGCAGCGACGCAGCGUGCGGGAUGACGGCCUUCGGGUUGUAAACCGCUUUCAGCAGGGAAGAAGCGAAAGUGACGGUACCUGCAGAAGAAGUACCGGCUAACUACGUGCCAGCCGCCGCUGUAA